This 253-nucleotide ribosomal RNA is filed under the name uncultured bacterium. RNAcentral's name for it is "partial 16S ribosomal RNA". It matches the Rfam family "Bacterial small subunit ribosomal RNA", at positions 524 to 776 of the family's 1533-position model. The record is from RNAcentral.
UACGUAGGGGGCAAGCGUUGUCCGGAUUUAUUGGGCGUAAAGAGCAUGUAGGCGGCCAUACAGGUCAGCUGUGAAAACUCGAGGCUCAACCUCGAGACGUCGGUUGAAACCGUAUGGCUAGAGUCCGGAAGAGGAGAGUGGAAUUCCCGGUGUAGCGGUGAAAUGCGCAGAUAUCGGGAAGAACGCCCGUGGCGAAAGCGAGCCCCUGGACGUCAUCUGACACUGAGACGCGAAAGCCAGGGGAGCGAACGGG